This 798-nucleotide ribosomal RNA is filed under the name Ruhlandiella sp. RH-2012. Its description in RNAcentral is "eukaryotic LSU rRNA". It matches the Rfam family "Eukaryotic large subunit ribosomal RNA", at positions 74 to 888 of the family's 3401-position model. Lineage: Eukaryota; Fungi; Ascomycota; Pezizomycetes; Pezizales; Pezizaceae. The record is from RNAcentral. RNAcentral also lists the same sequence under 1 other name.
AUUGCCCUAGUAACGGCGAGUGAAGCGGCAAAAGCUCAGAUUUUAAAUCUGGCGUCAUUUUGGCGUCCGAGUUGUAGUCUGUAGAGGAGUAUUCGAGUGUGGCUUUGGCUUAAGUUCCUUGGAACAGGGCGUCAUAGAGGGUGAGAACCCCGUUAACGGCCUUUGUCUUAUGCUCAUGUGAAUCUCCUUCAACGAGUCGAGUUGUUUGGGAAUGCAGCUCUAAAUGGGUGGUAAAUUCCAUCUAAAGCUAAAUACUGGCAAGAGACCGAUAGCGCACAAGUAGAGUGAUCGAAAGAUGAAAAGAACUCUGAACAGAGAGUUAAAUAGUACGUGAAAUUGUUGAAAGGGAAGCACUUGCGACCAGACGCACUUGCAGCUGAUCAGCCUCCAUUCUUGGGGGUGCACUCUGCUGUCUGUGGGUCAGCAUCAGUUAUAGUGGUGGGAAAAAGACAAGGGGAAUGUAGCUCCUUUCGGGGAGUGUUAUAGCCCUUUGUGUAAUGCUGCCUGCUGUGACUGAGGACCGCGCUUCGGCGAGGAUGCUGGCAUAAUGGUUGUAAGUGACCCGUCUUGAAACACGGACCAAGGAGUCUAACAUCUAUGCGAGUGUUUGGGUGUUCAAACCCUUACGCGGAAUGAAAGUGAAUGGAGGUGGGAACCGUAAGGUGCACCAUCGACCGAUCCUGAUGUUUACGGAUGGAUUUGAGUAGGAGCAUAGCUGUUGGGACCCGAAAGAUGGUGAACUAUGCCUGAAUAGGGUGAAGCCAGAGGAAACUCUGGUGGAGGCUCGCAGCGGUUCUG